RNAcentral lists this ribosomal RNA (830 nucleotides) under uncultured bacterium. RNAcentral describes it as "bacterial SSU rRNA". It matches the Rfam family "Bacterial small subunit ribosomal RNA", at positions 651 to 1480 of the family's 1533-position model. The record is from RNAcentral.
AUAGAGGAAAGCGGAAUACAUAGUGUAGAGGUGAAAUUCGUAGAUAUUAUGUAGAACACCAGUUGCGAAGGCGGCUUUCUGGAUCAACACUGACGCUGAGGCGCGAAAGUAUGGGUAGCAAAGAGGAUUAGAUACCCUCGUAGUCCAUACCAUAAACGAUGAUUGCUAGAUGUUGGAAAUUUAUUUUCAGUAUCGCAGCUAACGCAUUAAGCAAUCCGCCUGGGGAGUACGACCGCAAGGUUAAAACUCAAAUGAGUUGACGGGGACCCGCACAAGCGGUGGAGCAUGUGGUUUAAUUCGAAGAUACGCGCAGAACCUUACCAACCCUUGACAUGUCUGUCGCGAGUUUAGGAAACUAGACUUUUCGGUUCGGCCGGACAGAACACAGGUGCUGCAUGGCUGUCGUCAGCUCGUGUCGUGAGAUGUUGGGUUAAGUCCCGCAACGAGCGCAACCCCUACUUUUAGUUGCCAUCAGGUAAUGCUGGGCACUCUGAAAGAACUGCCAGUGAUAAGCUGGAGGAAGGUGGGGAUGACGUCAAGUCCUCAUGGCCCUUACGGGUUGGGCUACACACGUGCUACAAUGGUAGUGACAAUGAGAUGCAAGGUGGCGACGCUAAGCUAAACUCAAAAAUCUACCUCAGUUCGGAUUGCACUCUGCAACUCGAGUGCAUGAAGCUGGAAUCGCUAGUAAUCGUAGAUCAGCGUGCUACGGUGAAUACGUUCCCGGGUCUUGUACACACCGCCCGUCACACCAUGGAAGUUGGUUCUACCUUAGAGCAGAUUGCUAACCGCAAGGAGGCGUUUGACCAAGGUAUAGUCAGCGACUGGGG